This 20-nucleotide ribosomal RNA is filed under the name Capsicum annuum. RNAcentral's name for it is "partial 18S ribosomal RNA". The record is from RNAcentral. Lineage: Eukaryota; Viridiplantae; Streptophyta; Magnoliopsida; Solanales; Solanaceae.
CUGCGGCAGGAUCAUUGUCG